This 48-nucleotide transfer RNA is filed under the name Erythranthe hymenophylla. RNAcentral describes it as "partial tRNA-Leu". The record is from RNAcentral. Lineage: Eukaryota; Viridiplantae; Streptophyta; Magnoliopsida; Lamiales; Phrymaceae.
AAAAUCCGUCGACUUUAAAAAUCGUGNGGGUUCAAGUCCCUGUNUCCC